UUUUCCAUCCAUCACCAAGUUAACGAUUAACAUCUUUAAACUUCAAUCUAGGAUUCUAGAGGUUCUUAUAAUAUCAUGUCAUAAUGGCUCUUCCUCUCAAAAGUUCUUUUCCUUUGUGACAAGCACAGAAAAUCGACUAUCAGAGGAUCAAAAAGCCAAAGCUCUUUUGGAAUUCGGCAGCCGCUCCAUUAACAUCCUAUUUCCAGAUUGAGCACUUGCCGAAGGGUUUGAUUUCGCCAUCAGCAAACAUGCCAUACUUCGGUGGAAUGCUAAUAAAAACAGGCUAUUGGUUCGAUUCUUGCUACUCUUGAGAGGAGAUGCUUCAACGGAAGCGGCUGUGACCAAAACUUUUGCUGCGCUGAUUACUGCUUUAAUGUGCUCAAAUUUACCGAAAUUGCUUUUUAUUUCCUUGCAAUCAUAGAAGGAAAAGCUAAUGAAGGAUCGAGUUUCCGCAAAUCCCUUGCAGGAAUGCGGAAUUGAUGCAAAAUAUCAUAUUUUUUUUAUCUCCAGAAGACUAGCUUCCCCAUUACUGUCUAAUGAGAUCCAGCUGCUAGUUCUUGAACUGUUAGUGUCUAAUGAGAAACACUGGCAUUUAUGUAGUGUGAAAUUAGUCCUAGGGAGAUGGUAGACUUCCACUUGAAGAUUCUUAGGAGCAAAAACUAGGUCAUUUCCACCGAAGAAGAUAAUUCUUUUAGUUUUUGGAACAAACCUAUCGGAGAAAAUAACAUCAUGGGUCUUUAUAAUUUCAGAUGCCAUCUCUGCAGAUGAAACUACAAGAAUAGGUUUAAGAUUAACCAUGGAUCUUAGAUCAAGAAAAAGAGUCGACAUAGAGAUAUAUCUUGAGGUAUUGAUGUAAACCAAAGUCUCUCUUCAUUUGGAAUACAGUUAUUUUUCUCCUUGCGUUAUUGUACUUGGAGAGCAUCAUAUAAAUUCAGUCUUUAAACUCUGCAUGGAUGAUCAAUACAAAAAUUAUAAAUUUACAGAGCUCAAACACAAAAUACAAAAGAUUUCUUCUAACAAAUAUUCAACAAGUGUACUUCAUUCUUGAGUUCUCUGGUUUGUUCAGUGAAAGAACUACUAAAAAGAAUAAGUUACUAAAACACUCAGCAAAGUUAAUGAACAUAUACCAAACGACGUCAAUUCUUGCACCAAUCCCGACCAUCCCACUGUUGAUACAACUUCCA
Papaver somniferum (opium poppy) is the source of this 1184-nucleotide long non-coding RNA. RefSeq lists it as uncharacterized. The record is from RefSeq and is a predicted model, not a curated record. NCBI's taxonomy places the organism in Eukaryota, Viridiplantae, Streptophyta, Magnoliopsida, Ranunculales, Papaveraceae. The transcript is spliced from 2 exons.